GAUGAAGAACGUAGCGAAAUGCGAUAAGUAGUGUGAAUUGCAGAAUUCAGUGAAUCAUCGAAUCUUUGAACGCACAUUGCGCCCCUUGGUAUCCCGAGGGGCAUGCCUGUUCGAGCGUCAUUUCACCACUCAAGCCUGGCUUGGUGUUGGGCGACGUCCCCUUUGGGGACGCGCCUCGAAACGCUCGGCGGCGUGGCACCGGCUUUAAGCGUAGCAGAAUCUUUCGCUUUGGAAGUCGGGGCCCCGCCUGCCGGAAUACCUACUUGUAAGGUUGACCUCGGAUCAGGCAGGGAUACCCGCUGAACUUAAGCAUAUCAAUAAGCGGAGGA
This 329-nucleotide unclassified non-coding RNA is filed under the name soil metagenome. RNAcentral's name for it is "partial contains 5.8S ribosomal RNA, internal transcribed spacer 2, and large subunit ribosomal RNA". The stretch from base 1 to 120 matches the Rfam family "5.8S ribosomal RNA", at positions 35 to 154 of the family's 154-position model. The record is from RNAcentral.